Molecule: long non-coding RNA, 266 nt
Organism: Lytechinus pictus (painted urchin)
Lineage: Eukaryota; Metazoa; Echinodermata; Echinoidea; Temnopleuroida; Toxopneustidae
Exons: 3
Source: RefSeq, a predicted model, not a curated record
AGUGGUCCACACCCUGCCAGCCUUUUAGCGCUACAACAAAUCUCAGAACUGGUGCUGCCUCAGUCCCGCUUCAACCAGAGUACAGGGAGAAGUCUUGGAGGAGGAAGAAUCAAUUCAGGUACAAGUUGUGUUAUACCAGUAGCAGAUAUUCGAGGGUCCGACUCAGUCAACUACACAAAGGGAGAGAAGGCUCUUCGCUGCAAGCUUGCCUCCCUCUAUCGUCUAGUAGAUCUACACGGCUGGACUCAUCUCAUAUACAAUCACAU